GUACCUUGUUGCUUCGGCGGGCCCGCCUCACGGCCGCCGGGGGGCAUCCGCCCCCGGGCCCGCGCCCGCCGAAGACACACAAACGAACUCUUGUCUGAAGAUUGCAGUCUGAGUACUUGACUAAAUCAGUUAAAACUUUCAACAACGGAUCUCUUGGUUCCGGCAUCGAUGAAGAACGCAGCGAAAUGCGAUAAGUAAUGUGAAUUGCAGAAUUCAGUGAAUCAUCGAGUCUUUGAACGCACAUUGCGCCCCCUGGUAUUCCGGGGGGCAUGCCUGUCCGAGCGUCAUUGCUGCCCUCAAGCACGGCUUGUGUGUUGGGCUCUCGCCCCCCGCUUCCGGGGGGCGGGCCCGAAAGGCAGCGGCGGCACCGCGUCCGGUCCUCGAGCGUAUGGGGCUUCGUCACCCGCUCUGUAGGCCCGGCCGGCGCCCGCCGGCGAACACCAUCAAUCUUAACCAGGUUGACCUCGGAUCAGGUAGGGAUACCCGCUGAACUUAAGC
Molecule: ribosomal RNA, 498 nt
Filed under: Penicillium oxalicum
Lineage: Eukaryota; Fungi; Ascomycota; Eurotiomycetes; Eurotiales; Aspergillaceae
Description: eukaryotic LSU rRNA
Rfam family: 5.8S ribosomal RNA (bases 134-287)
Source: RNAcentral